This 192-nucleotide ribosomal RNA is filed under the name uncultured bacterium. RNAcentral's name for it is "partial 16S ribosomal RNA". It matches the Rfam family "Bacterial small subunit ribosomal RNA", at positions 335 to 524 of the family's 1533-position model. The record is from RNAcentral.
ACUCCUACGGGAGGCAGCAGUAGGGAAUCUUCCGCAAUGGACGAAAGUCUGACGGAGCGACGCCGCGUGGGCGAAGAAGGUCUUCUGGAUCGUAAAGCUCUGUUGUUAGGGAGAAAACCGUUCGAAUAGGGCGGUACGGUGGGUACCUAACGAGUAAGCCCCGGCUAACUACGUGCCAGCAGCCGCGGUAAU